This 247-nucleotide ribosomal RNA is filed under the name uncultured bacterium. RNAcentral describes it as "partial 16S ribosomal RNA". It matches the Rfam family "Bacterial small subunit ribosomal RNA", at positions 115 to 354 of the family's 1533-position model. The record is from RNAcentral.
ACGUAGGUAACCUGCCCCGGAGCGGGGGAGUAACAUUUGGAAACAGAUGCUAAUACCGCAUAACAACAAAAGCCACAUGGCUUUUGUUUGAAAGAUGGCUUUGGCUAUCACUCUGGGAUGGACCUGCGGUGCAUUAGCUAGUUGGUAAGGUAACGGCUUACCAAGGCGAUGAUGCAUAGCCGAGUUGAGAGACUGAUCGGCCACAAUGGAACUGAGACACGGUCCAUACUCCUACGGAAGGCAGCAG